RNAcentral lists this ribosomal RNA (253 nucleotides) under uncultured bacterium. Its description in RNAcentral is "partial 16S ribosomal RNA". It matches the Rfam family "Bacterial small subunit ribosomal RNA", at positions 524 to 776 of the family's 1533-position model. The record is from RNAcentral.
UACGUAGGGUGCAAGCGUUGUCCGGAAUUAUUGGGCGUAAAGAGCUCGUAGGCGGUUUGUCGCGUCUGCUGUGAAAUCUGGAGGCUCAACCUCCAGCCUGCAGUGGGUACGGGCAGACUAGAGUGCGGUAGGGGAGAUUGGAACUCCUGGUGUAGCGGUGGAAUGCGCAGAUAUCGGGAAGAACACCCGUGGCGAAGGCGGCUCUCUGGGACGGUACUGACGCUGAGACGCGAAAGCGUGGGGAGCGAACAGG